RNAcentral lists this non-coding RNA (23 nucleotides) under Mus musculus (house mouse). Lineage: Eukaryota; Metazoa; Chordata; Mammalia; Rodentia; Muridae. The record is from RNAcentral.
UGAGUCUUAAGAUAGUGUUUGCA